UCAAACACAAGUUCCCAUAAAAUCACCAAAGUUAAGCAACACUGAACCUGGUUAGUACUUAGUUGGGUGAUUGCCAGGGAAUACCAGGUGCUGUAAG
Acanthosepion pharaonis is the source of this 97-nucleotide non-coding RNA. The record is from the annotation of a GenBank genome assembly. NCBI's taxonomy places the organism in Eukaryota, Metazoa, Mollusca, Cephalopoda, Sepiida, Sepiidae.